UUAUGCCCCCCUUCGAAGAAGAGGGGGUAUAUUGCUUUGCUCAUGUCGGUCUGUCUGUCUGUCUGUUGGUCGGUCCGUCCACCAGGUGGUUGUCAGACGAUAACUCAAGAACGCUUGGGCCUAGGAUCAUGAAACUUCAUAGGUACAUUGAUCAUGACUCGCAGAUGACCCCUAUUGAUUUUGAGGUCACUAGGUCAAAGGUCAAGGUCACAGUGACCCGAAAUAGUAAAAUGGUUUCCGGAUGAUAACUCAAGAACGCUUAGGCCUAGGAUCAUGAAACUUGAUAGGUAGAUUGAUCAUGACUCGCAGAUGACCCCUAUUGAUUUUCAGAUCACUAGGUCAAAGGUCAAGGUCACAGUGACCCGAAAUAGUAAAAUGGUUUCCGGAUGAUAACUCAAGAAAGCUUAUUCCUAGGAUCAUGAAACUUGAUAGGUAGAUUGAUCAUGACUCGCAGAUGACCCCUAUUGAUUUUCAGGUCACUAGGUCAAAGGUCAAGGUCACGGUGACCCGAAAUAGUAAAAUGGUUUCCGGAUGAUUACUCAAGAACGCUUAUGGCUAGGAUCAUGAAACUUCAUAGGUACAUUGAUCAUGACUGGCAGAUGACCCCUAUUGAUUUUCAAGUCACUAGGUCAAAGGUCAAGGUCACAGUGACUCGAAAUAGUAAAAUGGUUUCCGGAUGAUAACUCAAGAAUGCUUAGGCCUAGGAUCAUGAAACUUCAUAGGUAGAUUGAUCAUGACUGGCAGAUGACCCCUAUUGAUUUUCAGGUCACUAGGUCAAAGGUCAAGGUCACAGUGACUCGAAACAGUAAAAUGUUUUCCAGAUGAUAACUCAAGAAUGAUUUGGCCUAGGAUCAUGAAACUUCAUAGGUACAUUGAGAAUUACUGGCAGAUGACCCCUAUUGAUUUUCAGGUCACAAGGUCAAGGUCAAAGUGACUCAAAAUAGUUAAAUGGUUUCCGGAUGAUAACUCAAGAAUGCUUACGCCUAGGAUCAUGAAACUUCAUAGGUACAUUGAUCAUGACUGGCAGAUAACCCCUAAUAAUUUUCAGAUCACUAGGUCAAAGGUCAAGGUGACAGUGACUCGAAACAGUAAAAUGGUUUCCUGAUGAUAACUCGAGAGCGCUUAUGCCAAGGAUCAUGAAACUUCAUAGGUACAUUGAUCAUGACUGGCAGAUGACCCCUAUUGAUUUUCAGGUCACUAGGUCAAAGGUCAAGGUCACAGUGACAAAAACGUAUUCACACAAUGGCUACCACUACAACUGACAGCCCAUAUGGGGGGCAUGCAUGUUUUACAAACAGCCCUUGUUUAUUAGUUUUAUUUACAUUCUAAAUAAUGUAUCACUUUUGAACUAUUUCUGGUAUUUUUGUAAUCAUCUUUAUGAUAAAUGUGAUCAUUAAAUAUAAUUUUGACAGUAAUCUUAUUAAAAUUGAAAUAUAGUCCAUAUCAAAAGCAUGAACCACAGUAUUUCUUACAAGUAGAAAAGCCUCUUGUCAAAUCAAUAUUGCUCCGGUGAAAGAUUUACAGUGAUUUUUAACAGGUCAUUGUUGCAAAAAACACAACAAACAUGGAAAAUGUAACAACCUAAAAGUAUAUGUUUACAUUUUUUUUCUAUAUAUUGUUUAAUUGAAAAAACAACACUGUUUGUCUUGUUUAAUAUUAUGUUUAUUUCAACACUGACAGAACAAACUUUGAAGUUUUGUUUAUCAGUUUAGAUAUUAACCCACUUAGAUUCUCUGAUUGUCCUCAAUAACAUGGCAUUACUAGACAUUAUGCUUUCUAUGUAAAGUACUUGAUGUAACGCCUCAUGAUUUUGUGAUAAACCAAAGUAAAAACUCUUUGUGACAUUGUUUAUAUAUUAGAUACAUGCAUGUCAUGCCAUAAUGUAUGAUGUUUUCCAUUGAAAAACCUGGCUUUAUGGGUAUUGUGUUGUCCUUUAUAAGCCUACAAAGUCUGCGCAGGCAUUAUUUCUGUCUACGGUGGGUUAAGCGAUUUGAUUGAAACAGAAAGUUAUACAGUUCCUGACGGCACAGGCUUAUUCAGGAUAAGACUUGACAAAAAUAACAUUUAGCCAAGUUUUCCCACAAAAUUCUUCUAUAAAAUUAUUAUUGUGUGACAGCAAGAAAAAAGAUAUGAUGUUUAAACUUCAACAUAUAAAAAUAAUGCACACAAAAACAUUUACUUUAUUUGCUUGAGGUGUGAACAAAUAAAAAGAUUUCAAAGAGUUUAUACAUUAUAUUCACUUUAAGUAAGACAUUAUCUGAUGAAACAAAAUUUACUGGUAGAUUGAUAUUGAAUUUGUACUUUUGAAGUUGCUACAGAUAUUUAUAAUUAUGUUACAGAUAUAUAUAUUAUAAUGUUAUUUGUACUCAGUUGUUUUAUAUUAUUUUUUAUUUAUAAUAUGUAUAAGUGCAAUACAUAGUUGUAAGUAGAAUCUUAUUGUAGACAGUAUGAUGUUAUUUCCUUGUAAUAGAACUUAAUACCAAAUAUGCCAUAUUUAAUUGAGCCACACUCUUCGAAAAGGGGGUUUAAUGCAUGUGCGUAAGGUGUCUUCCCAGAUUAGCCUGUGCAUUCUGCACAGGCUACUCAGGGACGACACUUUCUGUAUAAAAUUGAGUUUUGCUAAGAAGGGACUUCCUUCAAACGAAAAAUAUCAUAAAAGCGGAAAGUAUCGUCCCUUAAUAGCCUGUGCAGGCGGCACAGAACUGGGACGAUACUUUUCGCUCAUGCAUUAAACCCCUUUUCACAGAGGAUGGCCCAAAUCUAUUAUUAGGCUGAUAUAUCCCGUCAAUGUUAUUCCUACUUAAUUACUAUAUCAAACUAUGUAAACAGUAUACAAAGUGUAACAUAUAAUUCAGACUAUCAUGUUUUAAUGAAUUUUUAUAUAAUUUAUGUAUACUGAAAUUAUGUUAUACAAGAAGCAGCUUUUUUCAUUCUUAUCAGAACAAAACAACAACAAUAAAAUAACAAACAAUAUUUGAUUUUGAUAAACAGCCAAACAUGUAAAGAAUUAUAUUAUUAGUAAGAAAGUUUAUGUUUUAUUAGAUCUACACCUGUAUAUUUUUUUCUUUAGGCCAGUUCACUUUUAGUCUAUAUAGAGCUUUACAAAUUUGUUUACAGCCAAAGUAUAAAUGUUCAUCGGAGAAGAACCUCACCUGAUUUUCUUUAAACUGUGAUAGGACAAUUUACAAACGUUUGUGACUCUGUUUUUGUAUGCAUCUAAAGCAACUUUUUGUAGCUCGCAGGGUCUUGAUUUUUUUAUAAGAUAUAUUAUUUUCUUGUAUUUGUUUGAGUGUAAGGAACACUAUUGACACGUAGUCAUGUUUUACAAUGUCUUAAACUGUCAUUUUGGUGUAAGAUAAAAUUGAAGGUAUAAAUAAAUAAAUCGGCAAUACAAAGUCUACCUUUAUAAGGAGAACAAAUAUUGAUAUGAGUUCAUAUAGUUAAGAUAAAUAUAAGAAAAACGCUGUUUCUUUUUACUUAGAUCACAUACUGUGUCAGAUGUUGUUCUUUAAAUUAUGUAGACGUAUGUCGUUUAAAGCAGUAGAGGACUGUUUACUUUUCCUGGUCUGUGUGUAUUUAAUAAAAUGUCUAGGUCGAUAUGUGUGUAUACAGUUUAUUUGGUAUUGUUUUUAUUAGGCAAGUUUUAUAAAAAUGUUAUUAGAAA
Long non-coding RNA from Dreissena polymorpha, 3664 nucleotides. RefSeq lists it as uncharacterized. The record is from RefSeq and is a predicted model, not a curated record. The transcript is spliced from 7 exons. NCBI's taxonomy places the organism in Eukaryota, Metazoa, Mollusca, Bivalvia, Myida, Dreissenidae.